GAUGAACGCUAGCUACAGGCUUAACACAUGCAAGUCGAGGGGCAGCAUGGUCUUAGCUUGCUAAGGCCGAUGGCGACCGGCGCACGGGUGAGUAACACGUAUCCAACCUGCCGUCUACUCUUGGACAGCCUUCUGAAAGGAAGAUUAAUACAAGAUGGCAUCAUGAGUCCGCAUGUUCACAUGAUUAAAGGUAUUCCGGUAGACGAUGGGGAUGCGUUCCAUUAGAUAGUAGGCGGGGUAACGGCCCACCUAGUCUUCGAUGGAUAGGGGUUCUGAGAGGAAGGUCCCCCACAUUGGGAACUGAGACACGGGACCAAACUCCUACGGGAGGCAGCAGUGAGGGAAUAUUGGGUCAAUGGGGCGAGAGCCUGAACCAGCCAAGUCGCGUGAGGGAUGACGGGUCCUACGGGAUUGGUAAACCUCUUUUUGGCGGGGAACAACGAGGGGCACGGCGUGCCUUUGUGAGUGUACCCGAAGAAAAA
This 482-nucleotide ribosomal RNA is filed under the name uncultured bacterium. Its description in RNAcentral is "bacterial SSU rRNA". It matches the Rfam family "Bacterial small subunit ribosomal RNA", at positions 28 to 489 of the family's 1533-position model. The record is from RNAcentral.